GAUGAACGCUGGCUGCGUGCCUAAUACAUGCAAGUCGAGCGAACGGACGAGAAGCUUGCUUCUCUGAUGUUAGCGGCGGACGGGUGAGUAACACGUGGAUAACCUACCUAUAAGACUGGGAUAACUUCGGGAAACCGGAGCUAAUACCGGAUAAUAUUUUGAACCGCAUGGUUCAAAAGUGAAAGACGGUCUUGCUGUCACUUAUAGAUGGAUCCGCGCUGCAUUAGCUAGUUGGUAAGGUAACGGCUUACCAAGGCAACGAUGCAUAGCCGACCUGAGAGGGUGAUCGGCCACACUGGAACUGAGACACGGUCCAGACUCCUACGGGAGGCAGCAGUAGGGAAUCUUCCGCAAUGGGCGAAAGCCUGACGGAGCAACGCCGCGUGAGUGAUGAAGGUCUUCGGAUCGUAAAACUCUGUUAUUAGGGAAGAACAUAUGUGUAAGUAACUGUGCACAUCUUGACGGUACCUAAUCAGAAAGCCACGGCUAACUACGUGCCAGCAGCCGCGGUAAUACGUAGGUGGCAAGCGUUAUCCGGAAUUAUUGGGCGUAAAGCGCGCGUAGGCGGUUUUUUAAGUCUGAUGUGAAAGCCCACGGCUCAACCGUGGAGGGUCAUUGGAAACUGGAAAACUUGAGUGCAGAAGAGGAAAGUGGAAUUCCAUGUGUAGCGGUGAAAUGCGCAGAGAUAUGGAGGAACACCAGUGGCGAAGGCGACUUUCUGGUCUGUAACUGACGCUGAUGUGCGAAAGCGUGGGGACCAAACAGGAUUAGAUACCCUGGUAGUCCACGCCGUAAACGAUGAGUGCUAAGUGUUAGGGGGUUUCCGCCCCUUAGUGCUGCAGCUAACGCAUUAAGCACUCCGCCUGGGGAGUACGACCGCAAGGUUGAAACUCAAAGGAAUUGACGGGGACCCGCACAAGCGGUGGAGCAUGUGGUUUAAUUCGAAGCAACGCGAAGAACCUUACCAAAUCUUGACAUCCUUUGACAACUCUAGAGAUAGAGCCUUCCCCUUCGGGGGACAAAGUGACAGGUGGUGCAUGGUUGUCGUCAGCUCGUGUCGUGAGAUGUUGGGUUAAGUCCCGCAACGAGCGCAACCCUUAAGCUUAGUUGCCAUCAUUAAGUUGGGCACUCUAAGUUGACUGCCGGUGACAAACCGGAGGAAGGUGGGGAUGACGUCAAAUCAUCAUGCCCCUUAUGAUUUGGGCUACACACGUGCUACAAUGGACAAUACAAAGGGCAGCGAAACCGCGAGGUCAAGCAAAUCCCAUAAAGUUGUUCUCAGUUCGGAUUGUAGUCUGCAACUCGACUACAUGAAGCUGGAAUCGCUAGUAAUCGUAGAUCAGCAUGCUACGGUGAAUACGUUCCCGGGUCU
Molecule: ribosomal RNA, 1372 nt
Filed under: uncultured bacterium
Lineage: Bacteria
Description: bacterial SSU rRNA
Rfam family: Bacterial small subunit ribosomal RNA
Source: RNAcentral